CCUACGGGUGGCAGCAGUGAGGAAUAUUGGUCAAUGGGCGCGAGCCUGAACCAGCCAAGUAGCGUGAAGGAUGACUGCCCUACGGGUUGUAAACUUCUUUUAUAAAGGAAUAAAGUGAGGCACGUGUGCCUUUUUGUAUGUACUUUAUGAAUAAGGAUCGGCUAACUCCGUGCCAGCAGCCGCGGUAAUACGGAGGAUCCGAGUGUUAUCCGGAUUUAUUGGGUUUAAAGGGAGCGUAGGUGGAUUGUUAAGUCAGUUGUGAAAGUUUGCGGCUCAACCGUAAAAUUGCAGUUGAAACUGGCAGUCUUGAGUACAGUAGAGGUGGGCGGAAUGCGCGGUGUAGCGGUGAAAUGCAUAGAUAUCGCGCAGAACUCCGAUUGUGAAGGCAGCGUACCGGCGCCGGACUGACGCUGAGGCACGAAAGCGUGGGUAUCGAACAGGAUUAGAUACCCCAGUAGUC
RNAcentral lists this ribosomal RNA (460 nucleotides) under uncultured bacterium. RNAcentral describes it as "partial 16S ribosomal RNA". It matches the Rfam family "Bacterial small subunit ribosomal RNA", at positions 338 to 795 of the family's 1533-position model. The record is from RNAcentral.